GGCCAGACUCCUACGGGAGGCAGCAGUGGGGAAUAUUGGGCAAUGGGCGCAAGCCUGACCCAGCAACGCCGCGUGAAGGAAGAAGGCUUUCGGGUUGUAAACUUCUUUUGACAGGGAAGAGUAGAAGACGGUACCCGUCGAAUAAGCCACGGCUAACUCCGUGCCAGCAGCCGCGGUAAUGCGGGGGAUGCGAGCGUUAUCCGGAUUUAUUGGGUUUAAAGGGUGCGUAGGCGGCGCUUCAGGUCAGCGGUGAAAUACCGGGGCUCAACCCCGGGGCUGCCGUUGAAACCGGAGCGCUAGAAUUCCGAUGCCGUCGGAGGAAUGUGUGGUGUAGCGGUGAAAUGCAUAGAUAUCACACAGAACACCGAUUGCGAAGGCAUCUGACGAAUCGGAGAUUGACGCUGAUGCACGAAAGCGUGGGUAUCGAACAGGAUUAGAUACCCUAGUAACC
This 451-nucleotide ribosomal RNA is filed under the name uncultured bacterium. RNAcentral's name for it is "bacterial SSU rRNA". It matches the Rfam family "Bacterial small subunit ribosomal RNA", at positions 329 to 796 of the family's 1533-position model. The record is from RNAcentral.